GUUGAUUGAAUGAUUAUAUAAUAUUUGUUUGCCUUUUGUUUUCAGUUGAAUAUAUUGUGAAAAAAAAAUAUGGCUGAAGGAAGGGACAGUCAGCCACCAGCCGCCGCCGACUGAACAGUGAGCUAGGUCCUGCAUUGCUAGUUGAUGUUCCGAGAGACAAGAACUUAACUGGAAAUUAUUCUUGUAGAAGGGCUGAAGCUGGAUGAUAUAGAAGCUGGCAUAUACACCGUACACUGUCUGCCCUUAAGGUUGCUUGGUGCGGAGGGAUCGCCUAUUAGAUGUAUACUGAUUAAGUAAUACUGUCCUCGUCUCCGCCUCAACCAUAAGGAAGCACUGGAGAUAGCAUUGAAUAAGAAAAAGUGCUGCAAGGGAGGACAUAUUGUCAGAGUAGUUUAGGCUGUAAUAUUAUUAGCUUUUAGGCUGAAAACACAUAGCAUGAGCAAAUAAUAUGUAGAUUUCAUGGUAUGUCUUAUGGUUUUAUGGAUUGACGGAGAAUGAUCAACAUAUUUAGAUCAGAGUUAUUUUUGUCUUAAGGUGCAAAUGAUUACGGUCAUCAUAUUGCUUUCUA
Long non-coding RNA from Lycium barbarum (goji berry), 568 nucleotides. RefSeq lists it as uncharacterized. NCBI's taxonomy places the organism in Eukaryota, Viridiplantae, Streptophyta, Magnoliopsida, Solanales, Solanaceae. The record is from RefSeq and is a predicted model, not a curated record. The transcript is spliced from 4 exons.